GAUGAACGCUGGCGGCGUGCCUAAUACAUGCAAGUAGAGCGCUGAAGGAGGAGCUUGCUUCUCUGGAUGAGUUCCGCACGGGUGAGAAAAACGUAGGUAUCAUGUCUGGUAGCGGGGGAUAACACUUGGAAACGAUAGCUAAUACCGCAUAAGAGUAGAUGUUGCAUGACAUUCGCUUAAAAGGUGCAAUUGCAUCACUACCAGAUGGACCCGCGGUGUAUUAGUUAGUUGGUGGGGUAACGGCGCACCAAGGAGACAAUACAUAGCCGACCUGGGAGGGGUGUCCGCCACACUUGGACUGGGACACCGGCCAGACUCCUACGGGAGGCAGCAGUAGGGAAUCUUCGGCAAUAGACCGAAGUCUGACCGAACAACGCCGCGUGAGUGGAGAAGGUUUUCGGAUCGUAAAGCUCUGUUGAUAGGGAAGAACGAGUUGUGGAGUGGAAAGUUCACACUGUGACGGUAUCUUACCAGAAAGGGACGGCUAACUACGUG
Molecule: ribosomal RNA, 495 nt
Filed under: uncultured bacterium
Lineage: Bacteria
Description: partial 16S ribosomal RNA
Rfam family: Bacterial small subunit ribosomal RNA
Source: RNAcentral